RNAcentral lists this ribosomal RNA (375 nucleotides) under uncultured organism. Its description in RNAcentral is "partial 16S ribosomal RNA". It matches the Rfam family "Bacterial small subunit ribosomal RNA", at positions 527 to 896 of the family's 1533-position model. The record is from RNAcentral.
GUAGGUGGCAAGCGUUGUCCGGAAUUAUUGGGCGUAAAGCGCGCGCAGGCGGUUCUUUAAGUCUGAUGUGAAAGCCCACGGCUCAACCGUGGAGGGUCAUUGGAAACUGGGGAACUUGAGUACAGAAGAGGAAAGCGGAAUUCCACGUGUAGCGGUGAAAUGCGUAGAGAUGUGGAGGAACACCAGUGGCGAAGGCGGCUUUCUGGUCUGUAACUGACGCUGAGGCGCGAAAGCGUGGGGAGCAAACAGGGAUUAGAUACCCUGGUAGUCCACGCCGUAAACGAUGAGUGCUAAGUGUUAGGGGGGUUUCCGCCCCCCUUAGUGCUGCAGCUAACGCAUUAAGCACUCCGCCUGGGGAGUACGGCCGCAAGGCUG